This 548-nucleotide small RNA is filed under the name Pan troglodytes (chimpanzee). RNAcentral's name for it is "retained intron". Lineage: Eukaryota; Metazoa; Chordata; Mammalia; Primates; Hominidae. The record is from RNAcentral.
CCUUGGCCCCUCUCACCCUGCCUGUCUCCUCUCAGUACUCCAAGCAGGUAGACGACCGAUUUGGUGCCUAUGUGGCGUGUGCCUCGCUCGUCUUCCUCUUCAUCUGCUUUGUCCAGAUCACCAUCGUGCCCCACUCCGUAUUCAUGCUCAGCUUCUACCUGACCUGUUCCCUGCUGCUGACCUUGGUGGUGUUUGUGUCUGUGAUCUACUCCUGCGUAAAGCUCUUCCCCUCCCCACUGCAGACCCUCUCCAGGAAGAUCGUGCGGUCCAAGAUGAACAGCACCCUGGUUGGGGUGUUCACCAUCACCCUGGUGUUCCUGGCGGCUUUUGUCAACAUGUUCACGUGCAACUCCAGGGACCUGCUGGGCUGCUUGGCACAGGAGCACAACAUCAGCACGAGCCAGGUCAACGCGUGUCACGUGGCGGAGUCGGCCGUCAACUACAGCCUGGGCGAUGAGCAGGGCUUCUGUGGCAGCCCCUGGCCCAACUGCAACUUCCCCGAGUACUUCACCUACAGCGUGCUGCUCAGCCUGCUGGCCUGCUCCGUG